Molecule: ribosomal RNA, 253 nt
Filed under: uncultured bacterium
Lineage: Bacteria
Description: partial 16S ribosomal RNA
Rfam family: Bacterial small subunit ribosomal RNA
Source: RNAcentral
GACAGAGGGUGCAAACGUUGUUCGGAAUUACUGGGCGUAAAGGGCUCGUAGGCGGCCAACUAAGUCGGAUGUGAAAUCCCCAGGCUUAACCUGGGAACUGCAUCCGAUACUGGAUGGCUUGAAUUCGGGAGAGGGAUGCAGAAUUCCAGGUGUAGCGGUGAAAUGCGUAGAUAUCUGGAGGAAUACCGGUGGCGAAGGCGGCAUCCUGGACCGACAUUGACGCUGAGGAGCGAAAGCUAGGGGAGCAAACGGG